Molecule: long non-coding RNA, 460 nt
Organism: Nilaparvata lugens (brown planthopper)
Lineage: Eukaryota; Metazoa; Arthropoda; Insecta; Hemiptera; Delphacidae
Exons: 3
Source: RefSeq, a predicted model, not a curated record
UUUUUUAAACGAUGCUUAGUGAGAAAAUACAUAAUUAAAAAUUGUGCUUUGAUUUGUUACAGGCCUCUAUUGGUUGGAGUGAAUUAAAAAUUGAAUUUGGCUACACGAGGUGACACUUCAAUACUAAAUUUAUUAAGACAGGAAAGCUGCACUGAAUUCGUCUAACGUCCUGAAUUCAUGAUUAUGGAUCUGGAAAAACAUCAGAGGUUCACCGCUCAACAAACUGGAUAAACAGAGUCGCCACAUAUUCCAAGACGUGGGUGAUUCAUGGCAGUAACUGGAGAUAUCUGGGCGGUGGACUCCAUUGCGCCCCCCUCAGCGUCAACCACCGCUACAACCGCCGUCGGCAGUGUGUCUGCUACCUCACUUUGCGCGGACGAAGAGAUACUCAUUUUCAAAAGGAUAAUGUGUCAAAGAUUUUAUAAAAGUGAAAGUUUUGGCUAACAAAGCCUCUAAGUGC